Molecule: long non-coding RNA, 335 nt
Filed under: Brassica napus (rape)
Lineage: Eukaryota; Viridiplantae; Streptophyta; Magnoliopsida; Brassicales; Brassicaceae
Description: long non-coding RNA (BNAP_LNC025621)
Source: RNAcentral
UUGUCAAAUAUGAAAUAAUUUAUAGUUUCUAAGUUAUAUUAAGUCUUAAGUAGUGUCGAGAUAAUUCAUCCAUGAAGUCAAUCUUUCUAUUUAGAGUAUGACGCACUUUUUCCUAUUUUCAUGAUUUCUGUCAUCCGAUUCAUACUUCUCCCCCUCCAAAAUAAUGCAUGAUUAUUUUUAUUCUCAUUGAUUUCUGAAUAACUAUAUUAUAUUUUUAUUUUCUUGAUCAAUAAUAUAUUUGAAACAUAAAGUAAUACAAUAAAUCAAGAACAAUAUAGGAAAAUAGGAAAGUAUGAGCUUGAUGACGAAAAUAAUAAAAAUAAGAAAAAGUACGU